GACGAACGCUGGCGGCGUGCUUAACACAUGCAAGUCGAACGGAAAGGCCCUGCUUUUGUGGGGUGCUCGAGUGGCGAACGGGUGAGUAACACGUGAGUAACCUGCCCUUGACUGUGGGAUAACUUCAGGAAACUGGGGCUAAUACCGGAUAGGAGCUCCUGCUGCAUGGUGGGGGUUGGAAAGUUUCGGCGGUUGGGGAUGGACUCGCGGCUUAUCAGCUUGUUGGUGGGGUAGUGGCUUACCAAGGCUUUGACGGGUAGCCGGCCUGAGCGGGUGACCGGCCACAUUGGGACUGAGCUACGGCCCAGACUCCUACGGGAGGCAGCAGUGGGGAAUAUUGCACUAUGGGCGGAAGCCUGAUGCAGCAACGCCGCGUGCGGGAUGACGGCCUUCGGGUUGUAAACCGCUUUCGCCUGUGACGAAGCGUGAGUGACGGUAAUGGGUAAAGAAGCACCGGCUAACUACGUG
RNAcentral lists this ribosomal RNA (468 nucleotides) under uncultured bacterium. RNAcentral's name for it is "partial 16S ribosomal RNA". It matches the Rfam family "Bacterial small subunit ribosomal RNA", at positions 28 to 507 of the family's 1533-position model. The record is from RNAcentral.